Molecule: ribosomal RNA, 253 nt
Filed under: uncultured bacterium
Lineage: Bacteria
Description: partial 16S ribosomal RNA
Rfam family: Bacterial small subunit ribosomal RNA
Source: RNAcentral
GACGUAGGGGGCCAGCGUUGUUCGGAAUUACUGGGUGUAAAGGGUUCGUAGGCGGUGUGGCAAGUCGGGAGUGAAAUCUCUGGGCUCAACCCAGAGUCUGCUUCCGAAACUGCUGUGCUUGAGUGUGGGAGAGGCGCGUGGAAUUGCAGGUGUAGCGGUGAAAUGCGUAGAUAUCGGGAGGAACACCUGUGGCGAAAGCGGCGCACUGGACCACAACUGACGCUGAGGCGCGAAAGCUAGGGGAGCAAACAGG